This 483-nucleotide ribosomal RNA is filed under the name uncultured bacterium. Its description in RNAcentral is "partial 16S ribosomal RNA". It matches the Rfam family "Bacterial small subunit ribosomal RNA", at positions 28 to 523 of the family's 1533-position model. The record is from RNAcentral.
GACGAACGCUGGCGGCGUGCUUAACACAUGCAAGUCGAAUGAUGAAGCCGGAGCUUGCUCCGGUGGAUUAGUGGCGAACGGGUGAGUAACACGUGAGCAAUCUGCCCUUGACUCUGGGAUAACUGCGGGAAACUGUAGCUAAUACUGGAUACGACACCUUGGGGCAUCCCAGGGUGUGGAAAGAAUUUCGGUCAAGGAUGAGCUCGCGGCCUAUCAGCUAGGUGGUGAGGUAAUGGCUCACCAAGGCGACGACGGGUAGCCGGCCUGAGAGGGUGACCGGCCACACUGGAACUGAGACACGGUCCAGACUCCUACGGGAGGCAGCAGUGGGGAAUAUUGCACAAUGGGCGAAAGCCUGAUGCAGCAACGCCGCGUGAGGGAUGAAGGCCUUCGGGUUGUAAACCUCUUUUAGCAGGAAAGAAGCGAAAGUGACGGUACCUGCAGAAAAAGCACCGGCUAACUACGUGCCAGCAGCCGCGGUAA